This 1135-nucleotide ribosomal RNA is filed under the name marine metagenome. RNAcentral's name for it is "bacterial LSU rRNA". It matches the Rfam family "Bacterial large subunit ribosomal RNA", at positions 1376 to 2477 of the family's 2925-position model. The record is from RNAcentral.
AGGGUUAGUCGGGUCCUAAGGCGAGGCCGACAGGCGUAGCCGAUGGAAAACAGGUUAAUAUUCCUGUACCAACUUAUUGCGGAUGAAACGAGGAGGGACGGAGAAGGGUAUAAUACCAGCCUGGUUAUGGAUAUACCAGGUCGAAGCGUGUAGGUGGAUUUCCUAGGAUAAAAACGGGAAGUCUUAACACCAAGGCGUGAUGCGGCAUCAAAUCUUCGGAUGCGAUGUUAGUGGUUGAUCCCAUGCUUCCAAGAAAAGCUUCGCGUUGACAAUAUAGGUUGCUCGUACCCCAAACCGACACGGGUGGGUAGGGUGAGUAUCCCAAGGCGCUUGAGAGAACCGUGGUUAAGGAACUCUGCAAAAUGAUACCGUAACUUCGGGAGAAGGUAUGCCUUCUAUGGUGAUGGGACUUGCUCCCUGAGCUUAAGGAGGCCGCAGCGAAAUGGGGCUAGCGACUGUUUACCAAAAACACAGGUCUCUGCUAACUCGAAAGAGGAUGUAUAGGGACUGACGCCUGCCCGGUGCCGGAAGGUUAAGGGGAGAUGUAAGGAGUAAUCCGAAGCUUCGAACCGAAGCCCCGGUAAACGGCGGCCGUAACUAUAACGGUCCUAAGGUAGCGAAAUUCCUUGGCGGGUAAGUUCCGUCCUGCACGAAUGGCGUAACGACUGGCCCACUGUCUCAACCACGGACUCAGCGAAAUUGAAGUCUCGGCGCAGAUGCCGAGUACCCGCAGCUAGACGGAAAGACCCCGUGAACCUUUACUGCAGCUUGACAGUGAUAUUCGAAUUGAUUUGUGUAGGAUAGGUGGGAGACUAUGAGAUUGGGCCGCUAGGCUCAAAGGAGUCGUCCUUGAAAUACCACCCUGAUUAGUUUGGAUAUCUAACCUAGGCCCGUUAUCCGGGUCGGGGACCCUGUCUGGUGGGCAGUUUGACUGGGGCGGUCGCCUCCCAAACAGUAACGGAGGCGCGCGAAGGUUCUCUCAGCCUGAUUGGAAACCAGGCGCUGAGUGCAAUGGCAAAAGAGAGCUUAACUGCGAGACCGACGGGUCGAGCAGAUGCGAAAGCAGGUCAUAGUGAUCCGGUGGUUCCGUAUGGAAGGGCCAUCGCUCAACGGAUAAAAGGUACUCCGGGGAUAA